AAACCAAUUUUUUUUUUUAAAAACUUCGGAGGAAAAGAAACCAACAGGGAUUGCCUUAGUAGCGGCGAGUGAAGCGGCAAAAGCUCAAAUUUGAAAUCUGGCACUUUCAGUGUCCGAGUUGUAAUUUGAAGAAGGUAUCUUUGGGUCUGGCUCUUGUCUAUGUUUCUUGGAACAGAACGUCACAGAGGGUGAGAAUCCCGUGCGAUGAGAUGUCCCAGACCUAUGUAAAGUUCCUUCGAAGAGUCGAGUUGUUUGGGAAUGCAGCUCUAAGUGGGUGGUAAAUUCCAUCUAAAGCUAAAUAUUGGCGAGAGACCGAUAGCGAACAAGUACAGUGAUGGAAAGAUGAAAAGAACUUUGAAAAGAGAGUGAAAAAGUACGUGAAAUUGUUGAAAGGGAAGGGCUUGAGAUCAGACUUGGUAUUUUGUAUGUUACUCUCUCGGGGGUGGCCUCUACAGUUUACCGGGCCAGCAUCAGUUUGGGCGGUAGGACAAUUGCAAAGAAAUGUGGCACUGCCUCGGUAGUGUGUUAUAGUCUUUGUCGAUACUGCCAGCCUAGACUGAGGACUGCGGCUUCGGCCUAGGAUGUUGGCAUAAUGAUCUUAAGUCGC
Molecule: ribosomal RNA, 607 nt
Filed under: Lodderomyces orthopsilosis
Lineage: Eukaryota; Fungi; Ascomycota; Pichiomycetes; Serinales; Debaryomycetaceae
Description: LSU rRNA
Rfam family: Eukaryotic large subunit ribosomal RNA
Source: RNAcentral